RNAcentral lists this ribosomal RNA (253 nucleotides) under uncultured bacterium. RNAcentral describes it as "partial 16S ribosomal RNA". It matches the Rfam family "Bacterial small subunit ribosomal RNA", at positions 524 to 776 of the family's 1533-position model. The record is from RNAcentral.
UACGUAGGGUGCGAGCGUUGUCCGGAAUUAUUGGGCGUAAAGGGCUCGUAGGCGGUUUGUCGCGUCGGGAGUGAAAACCCAGGGCUUAACCCUGGGCUGGCUUUCGAUACGGGCAGACUAGAGGUAUGCAGGGGAGAACGGAAUUCCUGGUGUAGCGGUGAAAUGCGCAGAUAUCAGGAGGAACACCGGUGGCGAAGGCAGGUCUCUGGGCAUUAACUGACGCUGAGGAGCGAAAGCAUGGGGAGCGAACAGG